AACGAACGCUGGCGGUAUGCCUAACACAUGCAAGUCGAACGAGACCUUCGGGUCUAGUGGCGCACGGGUGCGUAACGCGUGGGAACCUGCCCUUAGGUUCGGAAUAACUCCCCGAAAGGGGUGCUAAUACCGGAUAAUGUCUUCGGACCAAAGAUUUAUCGCCUUUGGAUGGGCCCGCGUUGGAUUAGCUAGUUGGUAGGGUAAAAGCCUACCAAGGCGACGAUCCAUAGCUGGUCUGAGAGGAUGAUCAGCCACACUGGGACUGAGACACGGCCCAGACUCCUACGGGAGGCAGCAGUGGGGAAUAUGGGACAAUGGGCGAAAGCCUGAUCCAGCAAUGCCGCGUGAGUGAUGAAGGCCUUAGGGUUGUAAAGCUCUUUUACCCGGGAUGAUAAUGACAGUACCGGGAGAAUAAGCUCCGGCUAACUCCGU
This 432-nucleotide ribosomal RNA is filed under the name uncultured bacterium. RNAcentral describes it as "partial 16S ribosomal RNA". It matches the Rfam family "Bacterial small subunit ribosomal RNA", at positions 29 to 506 of the family's 1533-position model. The record is from RNAcentral.